RNAcentral lists this unclassified non-coding RNA (391 nucleotides) under soil metagenome. Its description in RNAcentral is "partial contains 5.8S ribosomal RNA, internal transcribed spacer 2, and large subunit ribosomal RNA". The stretch from base 1 to 122 matches the Rfam family "5.8S ribosomal RNA", at positions 35 to 154 of the family's 154-position model. The record is from RNAcentral.
GAUGAAGAACGUAGCGAAAUGCGAUACUUGGUGUGAAUUGCAGAAUCCCGUGAACCAUCGAGUCUUUGAACGCAAGUUGCGCCCGAAGCCAUUAGGCCGAGGGCACGCCUGCCUGGGCGUCACACGUCGUUGCCCCCCCAUCUACUCCUUCGGGAUUGCGGGUGGCGGAUGAUGGCCUCCCGUGCGCCUCGCCGCGCGGUUGGCAUAAAUGCCAAGUCCUCGGCGACGCACGCCACGACAAUCGGUGGUUGCGAAACCUCGGUUGCCCGUCGUGUGCGGUCGUCGCGCAUCGAGGGCUCGAAAAAAUUGCCGGGUUCCGGCUCGGCUUUCAACGCGACCCCAGGUCAGGCGGGGUUACCCACUGAAUUUAAGCAUAUCAAUAAGCGGAGGA